GCCGGAUCCGUAUUAUGCGGCUCCUUAUGGUGUUCCUCCCCCUGGAUCAAAGGAUUACCCGGCUCCGCCACAACCUUACGGCGGAUCAGGAUCGAGGGAUUACCCUGCUCCGCCUGCAGGAUCGAGGGAUUACCCUGCUCCGCCGCAACCUUACGGUGGCGGAUCAGGAUCAUAUGGUGCUCCGGCUUCCCCUUAUCCUUCUCCUGCUCCUGCCGCUGCUCCUUACGCCGCUCCGCCGUCUGGUUACCCGUACAGCUCGGCUCCGGCUUACGGUCAAUCACCAAAUUACGGUUCCA
RNAcentral lists this long non-coding RNA (296 nucleotides) under Capsicum annuum. RNAcentral's name for it is "long non-coding RNA (CANN_LNC004516)". The record is from RNAcentral. Lineage: Eukaryota; Viridiplantae; Streptophyta; Magnoliopsida; Solanales; Solanaceae.